CGCAAAAAAUGUUAAGAUUAGCAUGCAAACACCUUGCAUUAGAGCAGUGUUGACAGAGGGCUGAAGCACAGCAGGAAGUUACUGUUCCCGUGGGAAACGGAAAUGGUGCCUAUCAAGGAUGGAAACCUCUGAGUGCAUUCAUCCCGAUGCGCUUGAGCAAGUUACAAAACAGGCAUGGGGCAACAUGCAGAUUCUCAAUACACAGUUGAGUUCGGGGCUCAUUAGCUUUAUUGAGCUGGGGGCCACCGCAGUGGCUCCAGUAUCGAG
Molecule: non-coding RNA, 267 nt
Organism: Doryrhamphus excisus (bluestripe pipefish)
Lineage: Eukaryota; Metazoa; Chordata; Actinopteri; Syngnathiformes; Syngnathidae
Source: RefSeq, a predicted model, not a curated record